GUGGCUCCACUCCGGGAGGUACCACCCUGGGGGGGGGAGGGCGGAUAUACAUGGUAAGGGAGUCUGGACAUCUCCUUUUAAAUUCCCAAUUCUACAUAAAGCCAAGGAAAUCCAUUUCAGUAUUCUACACAGGAUUUACCCAACCAAUCUAAAGAGAAGCCUGUACCUUCUGAAUAUUUCCACUGUGUGCAGUUGUUACAGCAGUUCUGAGGACUCUAUUGUUUUAUCAAUGUGAGGUAACUUGUUGCUUUUCGAAAGACCUUUCAAGUUAUCUGUCCGACAAGCUUUCCACUAAACUAAACAUUCAUAUUCAUGGUGUGAUCUUCCACUUCUUCUUUACAAACAUUUGAUUAAUGAUUAACUUUCUUAUAUUACAGGCUAAGCAUCAUAUCCACAAAUGUAAACAUAUAAAAACAAAACCUAAUACUGUGUCUUUUAUUAAAGAAGUGGAAUAUCAUGCUUUAUAUACCUGUAAAAACAAGAACAUCUGUAAAACUGUUGAACUGUAUUACUGUUUUGUAAUAUCCUGGUGCCCGAAGUGGUUUAUAUCGCUUAUAACACAGCUACCUGUCACUUGUGGGAAGAAAAAUAAUUAAAACACAAUUAAAUUAAGACAAAACCAGAAACUUUUAUUGUGUAUACAUCCCCAGUGUAAUAUAACCCCAAAUUUAAUUGAAUUUAAUUGAUUCGCUUAUUAAAAAUAAAUUGCACAUGUUCGUUUAUUGUGAAUUUCUGCAUCGAAAGUGCCAUCUCAGGACUGACCACAAGCUGUAAUGAUGGGCGGAGUUUCAAAUGACACUAAGGAAGUAAGUAGAGCAGCUGCGAUGGAGACUGAAGCCGGAUCUUGAAAUGGACUGCUGUCUUCACUCAGAAAGUUGGUGUUGUACCAGUUAUGUGGAGUUUCAUCCCCAAAUAUAUUAAAGGAAAUAGGUCAAAUGCCACUCAUUUUUGGCUGUGGUUUUGUAACUAAUAACAAAUAAAAUGGCAGUUUGUCAUGGAAUUUCGAAUGUAGUGGUGCGUAGUAAUUUAUUCAGUGUGAAGCGGCUCAUUAUUAUGCAAGCCGUGCUAUACGCUAUAUAUACGCACAGUCAUGUGAUGCUGUUUAACCAAUCAGAGGUUGUUAUUUUUCCAAUAGUAGCCUGUCCCUCUCUAAACAACCCGUGUUAACCACUUUACAUUCAUUCAUUAACUCUCUGAUUUUACUUUUAAACAUGUUACAUUAUUUCCACACUUUGUUUACCAUCCAAUUGGUUUAUGUUGUCUUUUCACACUUUAUUACUUGUUUGUAUUAUUUUAAACAUCUCCUCAAAAUUCCUAUAAUCCUUUACCCAGAGGAGUGUGCAUUCUUUACAUCCACGUGGACAGGGCCUAAAGACGACUGCCUCAGCGACUGCUGCAUUUUAAACUUGCGCUCUUUGACAACAUAAUUCUGACUGCUUUCGUCCCUUUAAGAUUUCUCCAAUAAUGUAACUUUGUCCUUAAGUGAAAUUGACGAUCGUUUAGCGCUCGCCAUGAUAAUACUGCAUACAUUACAGUAACAGAGAGCAAAGUCAAGUUCAAACAGCAAGAAGUAGGCCUUAUGCACAGCACAGACCACUGCGUGCCAUCGCGGUGAGUGCGUAAUAACAGAAAGUAUGCACUAUCAGAGUACGUACUAAAAGGAGAAUUUAAACAGGAUUUAAUACAAUUUUAUUCGGUUCCACGAUACUGGUUCUUUACAUCAGUGUGUACAAUAUACUAUAUAUACAGUUAAACCCAUCUUCAGCCUUUUUCAAUCCACUGCUGGAUGAAGGCUUCCCCAAGAUUCUUCAACAAAAGCCUGUCUGCUGCGUCUCUCAUCCAUGUUGCUCCGGUGUGUUUCCUAAUUUCAUCUUGUCAUCUUCCUGGAGGUCGUCUUCUUGGUCGCUUUAUAUCUCUUGGGAUCCAGUCUAGUAUCUCAUUGGUCCAAUGAUGGUCUGUUCUUGCUACAUGUCUGGCCCACUACCAUUUCAGUUUAGUCGCUCUUAUAAUAACAUUGCAAACUUUUGUUUGCGCACUUAUCCAUUCCUUCCUUUUCUUGUCUCUUCUUGUUAUUUCCAGCAUGCAUCUGUCCAUACGCCGUUGGGUCGUUUGUAAUUUGAGUCAUUUUUGCAUGAGGGUCCAGGUUUCGCAUCCGUAGGUUAGCACUGGCAGCGCAAAUACUUUUCUCUUGAGGCAUAAGGGUAGUUUCCCUUUCAGAACCAUGCUUAAUCUUCCAAAGGCACUCCAGCCUAUUUUUGCUCUUCUAUUGAUUUCACACAUUUGGUUCUCUGUUGCCGAAACUGUCCUAAGUAUAUGUAGUUAUUGACUUCUUCAAGCUUGAUCCCAUUGACUUCAAUUGCCUGUGGAGUGGUAUAUUUAUUGAACAUGACUUGAGUCUUCUUCAGGUUCAUUUUUAAACCCGCUUUGAUGCUAGCCUUGUGUAGUUCUUGUAUUCUUGUUUGUAAUUCUUCUGGGCACGUUGUAAAUAUGAGGAUGUCGUCAGAAAAUCGUAGGUGAUUCAAGUAGGCUCCAUUGAUCUUCAGCCCUUUAUUUUCCCAAUCCAGUGUUUUGAAAAUGUCUUCUAGGGUUGCCGUGAAGAGCUUUGGGUAAAUUGUAUCUCCUUGACAAACUCGUUUUUCAAUCUUGAUUUUGUCGCUGAUUGUCUUGUUUGAAUAUACAGUAUAUAUACAGUAUUGUAACAGGGGGAGACCUGUACUGACUCUUCUGAUGUGUCCGAAGUGCUGCAGGAAGAGGGCAGCAGCCCGUCAAUAUUCGCCUGUCAGUCAUGGCAGUGACACGGAGAGGUGGGAGAGUGGGUGUGCGGGCUUUCCUUCUCUCUGAAUGGCUGAGAGGCGGGUCAUGGGGGGAAUUGCUGGCCCUAUAAAAUUAACAUUCUGCUGUUCCCUCAGGUCUGCCCCUUUGAGAGAGAACAGACAUACGGACGCACUGGUCCCGAUCCAGAACACGGCCAGGGAGGAAAACCCCCAAAGAAAUAAGAGAACAGAAAGAAAACAGGGUUAGCGGGGAAAACCGUGGGCAGACCCCAUCAGUAUUUGUUUAGCAGUCUGAGGGAGCGGCGAGGGUAGGACGGAGACCUGGACCGUGCGGGAAGCGACGGUCGGGGUGAAGCUGCCGAGUGCAGCACCUUUUAUUUGUAGUUUUUUGAUUACUGUGUUUUAUUUUCCUUGUUCUUUUCUCCUUUUGCUUAUUUUUGGUUUGAUCACCUGCGAGUGCGCCUAUACUGUAUAACGGUACCGCCUCUGGUAUCUCUGUGGCUCUGUUUUAUCAUCGCUGACAGGCAGACCACAGACAACAGCGCCCUCUGCGGGCCAAAACGUGGAACUGCCCCACUAAUAAUAAAACUGGGCACCUGUGCGGUGUUGUCAAGAUCA
Acipenser ruthenus (sterlet) is the source of this 3392-nucleotide long non-coding RNA. RefSeq lists it as uncharacterized. The record is from RefSeq and is a predicted model, not a curated record. The transcript is spliced from 2 exons. NCBI's taxonomy places the organism in Eukaryota, Metazoa, Chordata, Actinopteri, Acipenseriformes, Acipenseridae.